Molecule: long non-coding RNA, 3470 nt
Filed under: Canis lupus familiaris (dog)
Lineage: Eukaryota; Metazoa; Chordata; Mammalia; Carnivora; Canidae
Description: lncRNA (ENSCAFG00040021668.1)
Source: RNAcentral
GUAAAGUUCAGCUCUGAUUCCCAGGGGCCUAAGAUGGCUGUACUUGGGCUAAUGCUAACCUUGAGGUGGGAUGGCCUUCAUUUUUCUCAGCCUCCACAGUUUAAGUGACAUCACUUGGGGCCUGUGGUUUUGUUUUGUUUCUAUUUAUUUAUUUAAUUUAAUUUAAAGGUUUUAUUUAUUGACUCAUGAGAGACCCACAGAGAGAGGCAGACACACAGGCAGAGGGAGGAGCAGGCCCCCCACCCGGGGAACCAACCCGAUUCUGGGAUCACGACCCGAGCCACCCAGGCGCCCCUGUGGUUCUGAUUUUAACCGGCCUACCUUGUCUUCUCCUUCGCCUGUGGAUUUAUUGCACAACCAAGCACUGUUCACAAAACAAACAACAAAAAGAGAAACGCCUGCGCCUGCGGGCUUCGGAACCAAAGACCCAGAGGAGGUCCUGUAAGCUGCAGGGACCCCUUCCCCCACGACGAAAUGGAGCCACCUGUCCUGCCCUGCCGUGCCAGUGGGUCCCGCGGAGCCCUUCUGAGCCCCGCUCGGCACCAGCCAGCGGCUCGGGCUUGUGUUUGUUCCUAACCAGGCCCGCAGGUGGCCCGGGUUUACUGGAGUUGAUGUAAGGAGCUGAACAGCAUUCAAAGAUUCCCAUAUGGGUUAAUGAGCAAUGACACUCUUCAAAAGAGGUGACAAGAUGAAGAUGACAUAUGCAUUUGCUGGUGUGAUAUUGGGCAGACUCACUUCUUUGCUCUUGUUGAAGAAUGGUCUAUUCCCCAUAAGGACAUGUGUCCUGGAACAUCUGGAUGUCAAUGGCAUCUAGAAUGAAUCUAGACUUUGUAAGGAAGAUCUCAGGUAGGAGACUGGUAGGUAAAAUGGACAAUCAGUAUUAUUUCCAGAUUAAGGUUGCGGCCUCGAAAUUAACUAGGUUACUUUCUAGUUAGGAUCAUAACCCAGAAUCUGCCUGAGCAAGGCAGCGGGGCUAGAGCAGGUCUCACCCUAUUUUGACAAUUCAGGUUUACUUUCAUAGUUUUUGCAUAUCCAGGUCCCUUGUGUAUGAUUGUUUACAUAAUGCAUUUUUAUUUAAAUAAACUUGCUUUUGGUUACCAGAGAUUUGAAUGUGAUUGGUCUGGGAUGUGUCCUGGGAUUUUUAAAAAAAAAAUUUCACUUAAUUCUGUAUGAGCCCAGGUAGAAAACUACUUCUUCAAAGCAAGAAAGGGCAAUCUUGGUGUUUGGGGGAUGAAGAGGGAAUUGAAAAUGAGGAUAGUUAGUGUGAGAGCUGAUACUAUGGGCUCUGGAGUCUGGGUGGGGUGGAUUCUGAAAAUGGGUCUAUUUGGUAGACGCUUGAUUUUAACAUUCUCAUAGGGACAUAUGAUGAGGCCCUGGGCCUGUAAAGAAGGAAAGUUAGAUUUGAGAUACCCACAUAAGUCAGGGCCCUUGAAAAGCCACAUACUUAGUGCUUCCCCUUCCACCUUCACACUGGUGAGGGAGACUGUUUGCCUGCAGCUCUAGGUAGGAAAAACCUCCUAGGAGAAUCCAAAAUUCCAGCUGACAAAUUCACUUUAGAAUUAGUCCCAAACUACCCAAAUAUCUAUUCCUGGGUGAAUGAAUAAACAAAAUGGGGGCACAUACAUGCAAUGGAAUAUUAUUUGGCCUUAAGAAGGAAUGCAAUUAUUUUCAUUUAUUUUCACAAUUGAGAUAUAAUUGACAUAUAACAUGUUUUAGAUGUACAAGGGAUGAAAUUCAGACACAUGGUACAACAUGGAUGAACCUUGAAGAUACUAUGCUAAGUGAAAUAAGCCAAUCACAAAAGGACAGAUGUUGUAUGAUUACACUUAUAUGAGGUACCAAGAAUAGUCAAAUUCAUGGAGACAGAGUUGAACUCAUACAAUGGUGGUUAUCAGGGACUGAGGGAGGAGAGUGGAGAGUUAGUGUUUAAUGGCUAUUGAGUUUCUGUUUGGGAUGAAGCAGUUCUGGAGAUGGAUGGUGAUGAUGGUGGCACAACAAUGUUGAAUGUACUUAGUGCCACUAAACUGUACACUUAAAAGUGGUUUAAAAUGGUAAAUUUAUCAUGUAUAUAUUACCACCAUAAAAAAAAUUGGUCCCAAGUUUAUGAUGCCCCUGGAAUUUUUGGCAGAAUUCAAUAAAAUAUUGUUUGGAGGAACAAUCCUCUUUCCAAAGUGUAUGUGGUUCCCUAUGUUCACUGAAAAUAGGUUCAUAGUAAUAAAUUACAAAAUGGGAAAAUAACCUAUCAUAAAAGAGAUUCAUCAGACAUGAUAAGAAGCAGGAUUGCCACCCCAAGAGUUGAGACAAUUAAGCAAUCUGAAAGAAAAUAAACAGAUAUGUUAGAGAUGAAGAAACAGUAAGAACAUAACAUACUUUUGUGUAAAAUAGCAGCUUAGACACAGCUAAAGAGAAAAUUAGCAAAUGAGAAUACAGAUCUGCAUGAAGCCCAGAACAAAAAAGAGAUGGAAAAUAUGAGAAUGAUGUUAUGAGACAUGAAAGAUGGAAUGAGAAGUUUCACCCUAAAUCGGAAGUUGAUGUUGGCAGUGCCUUGUGCUAACCCUUUCGACCCAUCCGACUAGUGCAGUCGUGGUGGAUAACUCCACGAGUGAUGCCUACAUCCCUUUGUAACCACGUGCCACAAUGUCUCUCUGUUCUAACUCUGGGCUUUUGCCAAUAUUGCAAUAUUGCUUUUUGUCUUCACCCUUUGGUCUGAGGCUCCCUGGCUCCCAUCUCCCCAGCUAGUGAGAUUUUGGAUUAUGUUAGCAGCAUCGGUGAGUAUGCUUGUUUAAGAGCUUCACCUUCAUCUCUCCUUGGUGGGGGAGCGAACAUCUUAACUGCUGUCUACAGAUCAAAUUCCCCUCAUCUCCCCUACUGACUAGAGGGGAGAGGAGAAGUAAUUAUAGCACUGCAGGGACUUGUGCUCUACCUCUCCAGCCUCAGUUUCUGUAUUGAUAAAAUAAAGGGGGUGGGGGGGAGAUUGGCCCACACUGAUGGAUUUUCUGACUCUAACUCAAUGGAAAAAACUUCUGACCACCCUCCCUGGUUUCUCUGCAGUGGUAGCUAGCUACUUUCCAGAACAACACAGGUGAAAAUAACUUCCUCCUCCAUUGUGUCCACGAGGUAGGCCAGGGUGUGGUGGUGACUGUCUCUCCUUUGGUUGCUCCUCCUGUUCCCUUCUCCACUCACCAGGAGGUUGAAAACCAGGCUGAAUCACAGGUUUGCCACAGAAAACAAGAUGUUUAUUUUCUUUCUGGGUUUUGUUUAGAUCAUAGGGUCUAUGGUGGGUGGAUUCUAGUGUUGCUGUUUUCUUCUAAAAAAUUAAAAAGUUUUUAUCAUCACACAAAUUGUAUGGAAACGUCCUUCCAUUACAGAAGAAUUCAGAUAAUGCUAAUAAAGCAGAUCAUUUCCUCGCCUUCAAUUCCAGCUGUCUUUAGAAGAAACACUAUGGUCAUCCAGUGUUUUGCCUUCCCUGC